Molecule: long non-coding RNA, 8174 nt
Filed under: Equus caballus (horse)
Lineage: Eukaryota; Metazoa; Chordata; Mammalia; Perissodactyla; Equidae
Description: lncRNA (ENSECAG00000048035.1)
Source: RNAcentral
CUUUCCUAGAGGCUGGAUAGGAUACUUGGCAGAAUUCAGUAGGAAGGGGAGUGGAGGCUGUUUGCAAAUUAAACCGGAAACAAAGAUGCCAAACAGUCCAUUUAAAGGGCCCUUGAAGCUCUCACCUGAGAUGCCUGUUAUACGUUCCUCCUCCAGCUUUGCUGAAGGACGAUGUUUUAAGCAGCUCUUCCUCCUAAAGAAGUUAUCAGCUUGGGUUUAAAUUACCUCUUGGGAGGUAAAUCCUCAACUAGAGGCAACCCUGAAUCAUCGGAACAUGUUGGGGUCAGACACCUUCAGAUAAGCAUCAGUGCAACAACAAGAGAGCUUUCUUACAGCAAAAUGGAAAUUUAGACCAAGAGACACAAAGUACCGGGAAAAAACAGAAGAAACCUGGUGUGGUGAGUAGAGAAGGAACGAGUUUUCGGGGAAACUGUUCUUACUGGCUAAUCACAGUGAUGGAGUCAGUUGUCUGUCUGCCAAGUGUUCGACGGUGCUCCUAAUUCACUGAGGGGAACGGUUCAUGUUUAACUCAAGUCAAAACAUAGAGAUAGGGUAGGAUUUUCUUAUUUUCCAUGUUUGUGGAUGAAACAUCUGGAAUAAGGCUAAUCAUUUUAUCAGUUUGGGGGUGUGUAAGAGCAGAGACACUAACAGAAUAAAAUAGAGCUCCCAGAGUUUUGUCGUCCAGGGAACGUUACAAGAAUCUUCUCUUUCUUCACCCAGUUCACCACUGAAAGUGAACACGUACUCAAAUACCUCAGGGACGCCUAACAGCUGAUCAACCUAAUUCCACAACUGUCUUAUUAACUUAUAACUUUUAAGUAUGUAAAUAUUCUGUACGUGCAUACAAUACAGAUAUGAGUGAGUGUGGAGCAGAUUUUGGAAAUGUUCAGUUCUUUUAAUGAGAAAGAGAAACUAGUUUAUAAAUCUCACUUGUCAGACCCAUGUAGGAGGGAUAUUUUGUUUUUCUCCUAAAAACAACAUUUUCUUUGUAAUAUGGAAAAUAUAGAAAUAUGGACUAUUUCCUUGCCAUAUGAAAUAAUAUGGAAAAUAAAGAAGCUAUGCUCUUGAAUAUACUAUUUUCAUAUGACAUUUGGUUUCUCGUUAAUAGAAUAAUGGUGUAAUAAAUAGUAGACUAAGGUUAGCUAUUAAAAGUGCAAGGGAAAUAUCUCAUUUAUAUAUUUGUAAAUUAAAACCCCAAGGAGAAAUGAUGGAGAGCAUAUUGGUUUGGAAAGCACAAAUCUCCUUUAUCCCUCAGUUUCCUCUUUUCUGAAGCCUCAGAUUCUUCCCUCUACCAAGAGUCAGGCAUUGGAACCCACAACCAUUCCUGCCUUUAACAAGGCGAAAAUCAGACUAUGAAGCUGGACCAAAGGACAUAGGCAGAAGGAACUGGCUGUCAGUUUCUUACUUGGGUGAGUUCUAACACGGCAAUAAGGUUUCUUUACCAAGACUUCCUCUCUCCCCACAUCUCUUUACGCACUAAAACUUCGAACCCUCAUCUCAUCUCAGGGAGGUCUCUGUGCCUUCAUCAUCCUGCCUUGGAGCUUUCUGUAGACUAUCUGUUUUGCUAGGAAAUGCCCUACUGUGCAAGUCACUAACUCUUUUUCUUUCUGCAGAUGAUUUCAGUUACAGAAUUCCUACCUUGCCUUUCCCUAACUGAUGGAAUACAAGUAAAGAAUUCACCUGGGGCCGUCCUAUCUAAAGCUGCAACUAAACUUAACUCCUUCUUUCAGAAGGCAGUAUGAUAGAGUGGAAAGAACAUGGACUUGGGAAUUGAGCAAUCCUUGGUUUGGAGGGAAAAAACUGAAUGUUGGUUGCCACAUGAAUUGUGUGAAAUUACUUUUAGCUUUGGUCCCUUAGAGCUUCAUCUUGAGAUAAUACCGUCUACCACAUGUGAUUAAUAUGAGUAUUAAAUGCAUGAAUAAUGUCUGAUAGGCACUGAAUAGAUAUAGUCCCUACUCCAUUCCACAGAAGGCACUUGUCUUUUUUUUUUUUUUUUUUUUUCGGUGAGGAAAAUUGUCGCUGAGCUAACACUCUCCUUUUCAGGACUUUGCCUUAUAAAUCUAGCCGUCUUGGUAUCCUCGGACUUUGAUGUUGUUCUCUUCACCUCAGUAGGAGUGUCAGGUUCCUUGGGUUCCCUUUCCCCUGCAGUAUGGCCUGAAGUUGGCUCUAAACGGUAAGCUAGGAGAUCCUAAAGCUCAUCUCAUUUGUUUCCUUUCUCUCAAUGAUGACAGUCCUAUGCUGCCUAUUGUCAAAUGUCUGAAAACCAUUGUUUCAUCUGUUUUAUCAAGUUUAUAUUGAAGGGUAAUUCCUGUUGCUGCUAAUUCUUCUUGGUCAAAGGAGAAAUCUGCCAGUCUCCUGUAGACUUACUCUAAUAAGCUUGUGCUCCACCAUUCUGCUGAAACUCUUUGCAUCAAGGCCACCAAUGAUCUCCAGAUUGUGAAAUCUAAUAUACCUGUAUUUAAGAUUCACAAAAGACUGUUAACUCUCCUCCAGAACUCAUGAAACUACUAUUGAUGACACAAGUAGGGCAACAUGCAAGAGCACUAAGUGAACUAUGUAGUAUUUUAAGUCUAAAGAAAAUUAGUCAUGGAUUCUCAAGACUUUCUCAGCACGAGGCUCACCUGGGUGAGAUGCAAUUUGUUUUAAGAUGCACCCAGGAUUUUGUUUUUAUUCAGGUGUGGUGAGGACAACAGAUCACGAGACACUUGCCAGAUACCUUGUUAAGCACUGUUUCCAGGAGAAGGGGGAAUGCCUCGUCACCCCGGGCCACAUGGGGAAGUGGCAGGGUCAGUCAGAAGGAGUGAGGGGAAAGCACGGGCAAGAGCCUUUAUUGUGGUUUUUGUGGGAAGGAAUCUGCAACACAGGGUAAGCAGCUGGUCAGGCAUAGGAUUGGAUAGUUUGAAUAAUUUCAGUAGGCUCUGGGCUAUAGGGGUGGCCCCUAGUUGUCCAGUACCUGGCCCUAGAGCGAAUAGGGCAGAGGAGUAUGCCUCCUGGAGCAUAAAAAUCAGAUGAGGAGGUGGUUUGGAGUACGGGCUCUGGAUUGGUUAGUUUGCAUGUGGAAGGUGUGCUUGCAGCCAAGUUGUUUGCUCUCUCUAGGAAUUAGCUAACCCUGGGAGGGCCAGUCCCUCCACUGUCCACAAGGCCCCAAGAUAGCAAAGCAUCAUAAAAUACAGAUAAUAAAAAAUAUUAUUAAUAGUCAAGAAAUAAGAAAAUGACCCACCUCACAGAGAUUUCCCUUCAUUGGGGAAUGAGAGCGGGCAGAUACAAUGAUUCCAGGAGACUCUGGGGCAGGCACGGGUCGAGGGGCCAGGCAUCAGAGCCAUUGCAGUGCGUUGGUCCCCGUCUUCUCUCAGCUGGGUUACUGCAGUCUCCUCCUUGCUUCUAGUUGUACUUUCCUUCUCCACGCUGUAUUCAGUGAUGUUUAUAUGACACAUGUCUGAUCUUAGCGCUCACCUGUUCAACACUCUGCAGUGGCACACCUCCAAUAAAGUGAGCCAUGUGAAUUUUUUGGUUUCUCAGUGCAUAUAAAAGUUAUGUUUCCACUAUACUGUAGUCUAUUAAGUCUCCAAAAGCAUUAUGUCUAAGAAAACAAUGUACAGACCUUAAUUUAAAAAUGCUUUAUUGCUAAAACUGCUAACCAUCAUCUGAGCCUUCAGCAAGUCAUAAUCUUUUUGCUGGCGGAGGGUCUUGUAAAAAAAAUGCAAUAUUUGCAGAGCGCAAUAAAACGAGGUGUGCCUGUACUUGUAGAAUCAGCCCAAACUUCCUAACAUGGAAGAUAGCUAUUAUUGAGUCGCAUUUCUUGCCAUGAGCCACUCCCUCCUCCCAAUGCCCUACCCUCACCGAACCCCUCCCCGCCAUGCACACAGUUCCACAGCACAGGCAGUUAUACUGAAUUUCCCCCACUUCUUUAAAGACAUCAAGCUCUUCUUUCUAGUGCUUCACCCUUAUUCCUUCUUGUUCAAAGGAUGCUUCAGACCUUGGUUGAAGCAUAGCCUCCUCAGAGAGGUUUCUCCUGACUGUCCCCCAAUCCAGGUCGGCCUCGGGGACCCGCUCAGUCUUCAUGGCACUCUCUGCUUCCCCAUCACAGCUCUAACCACACUUCUAUAAAUGCCUAUUUACUCCUCUCACUUGCCACGAGGACAGGGACCAUGUAAAUUGUGUUCGCUCUUGUAUUAUCAGCACCUAGUACGAUGCUUGGCACAUGACAGUCUUUCAGGAAAUGUGUGAAAAUGUGUAUGAAUGAAUGAAGCCUCAAAGCUUGAGACCCAGGCCUGGGCUGGGCAGAGAGGAGAUUGAGGCAUUCCUGGAGGGGUCUGAGCUGAGACACUGAGUCAGGCUUCUAACGUUUUUUCCGCUGAGAUGAGUGGGGUUGGGCCUGGGAUAGGGAGAUCAUAAACCUCCAUUCCUGACCUUAAAUUAGAACCAAACUGGUGUCGAGGGGAAGAGGAAAAGCAGAUAUACCAUUUUCUUGGGAAAUUUCUUCUCAGUAAUUUCACUCUAGGUCAUUUAGUUCUUUAUGCCCAAACAAGUUAAUGCAGCCGUCAGUUAUAGUAAGAGCUCUGAUCUUAAACUGGUUUAAAAUGAGGACCGGGAUGACGACGCUCAACAGAAGAAGAUGAGUCUUAAGAAAUCCAGUGUUGUUGAAAAAUAAUAAAAUUCUAACACUUUAUAAACUUUGUGAUAUUCCUCUUUAAUUUCGGCAUUAGAUAGAGGUGAUGAAUAUUACAUCUCCAUUUUGCUGAACCUAUAACAUAAGCCGCAUUUUCCAGAGAAAGAUAAUUAAAUUUAUAAAAGAUUUGAGAAAGAAAUCCCCAAAAGCUAAAGAAAACUUUUGGGAGGAAAAGAAGUUACUCAAAAACCUACAAAGGAAAAAGAGAUGAGAGGAAGGUGUGGAGGUGUUGAGUGCCUAUCGUCCAUUUGAUUGAGGUCCAGACUGGAGGAACUGGCCCGAAAUUGCAGCAGGAUGCAUCAGGCUGGACAGCAGGGAGAGGGAGCGACCUCAACUCUCUUUCUCUCUGAAUACACACACACACGCACACACACACACGCACACACACAGACCAGUUUAUACCUGAUUUGUUUAAAAGCAGCUCCAUUCAAAAGAGAAGAGACUAUCCCAAACCACAUUCCAAAGCAACUUCAAGCAUUAAAUAAUGGAUUUUUUUCUUCCUCUAGCAGUUUCUUUUGCAAAAGAAGAGGACGCUACACGGUUUGAUUUCUCUUGUUUAGAGCUUUGUCAGCAUUGUUUGUUCCACUUCAAGAAGACAUUUUCAGAAGUUGUGAAAAUCACCGAUAACAUCAACGCCAUCAUCAGAAAAGCAGCCACCUGCCCACUGCGAAUUAUAGACGUGAUAAACCAGGGACUACAUGCAAAUGGGCGAGGAUGUGGCCCACUCCCUGAAGGAUGAACGCUCUCUGCAAGAGAAACCCCAGCACUGAAAUUCCUGCCUGCCGAAGGACCCUCCAUCCUGGGCAACUGACAGCUGGUCACCCUACAAAAGAUAUCUUGUCUCUUAGAACCUAAGGCAAACUGUAACAAUAACAGAAAAAAGGGUGAAAUUAUUGAGCCAUAACUUCCUUGAGGCCUCUAAUGUGAAGAAUCUUUAUCAGCUUGAGGAAUUUCUAAUACUUUUAAUUUUCAGCAGCACUAUGUGAAAAAUUGAGUAGGGGUCCCUGUAGAGAAGAUCAGAAAAGCGUAGAUCUGGAAUUGCCAUCUUAACUGACAGGGAGGUGUGGCAAGUGGAGAUAUCAAACAAGUAAAUGAAAAUUACUUACAAAUAAACAAGUUUCGUGAAUUUGUUCAUUAUUUUUCCUGUCUCACGCACAUUGGCUGCCAAAUUGCUAGAAGCUGGCUAGCCAACCAGCUAGAUGAGUGAUAGAUUAGUCUAUGCCAAUCGUAAACCUAGAAUUUAAAAAAUCAUUCCAUUUUCUCUACUAUUUUGUCUAUUUAAUUUUUGAUCAUCUACAUCUAGGUAGUAUUCACUUAAGUAAGAAAAUUAUAAUAAGAAAAUUUGUUUCUAAAAAAAUCUGAAAAAUUCAUAUACAUUAUCAUAGGCUUUAAACAGACUUUUUCUCCCGUUGAAUCAUCAAAUUUCAAGCCAGCUCUGCGCUGAUGCCCAGCUGUGGUGGAGAAGAAAGAGUUUGCAUUUUGGGGUCCGACAGAUUUACUGGCUGUGUCAUCUUGGGCAAGUUACUUAGCCUUUCUGAUUCCAGUUUCUUCCUCUAUACAAUGUGUAUAAUACCAACAACCUCAAAGCAUUGUGUGAGAAUCAAACGACGUUGUGUAUAAAGCGCCUGGCAAGUGGAAGAUUCUCAGGAACUAAUAACGUACAUGAUUGACAGUAAAACAAGAUGGAGAAAGCCAAGAGGCAGUCCGAAAUGCCGCUGAAUCAAGCAUCAGUAUUUGCAUUAGGACUAAAUUUCUCACUUACUAACCUUGACCUUAAAAUAUACACUUGGCACCUCUGCCUUUGUUUCCUCAUCUGUAAAAUGGUAAUACUUUAUCCUUGUGUACCUCAAAGGAUUUUGAAGCUCAUUUUGAAGCUCAAGUGAGAUAAUAUUCCUGAGAGUGCAUGGAAGUUUGAAGUCCCAAACCUUUGGUUUGCAGUUUUAAAGAAAUAUAAAGAAAACUCUGAUUUACCACAAGGGGCUUUAUUGCUGAUUUGCUUCCACACUUUAAGGUUGAAAAUGACUUUAUACCAUGAGAGGAUCCUGUAGCUUAAAAAGUGCUAUUUUGGGUUGAAUCAUCUCGUGCCAUGUUUUACUCAUUCCACCUGCCUGGAGAACAGGACGAUGGGAAGAGUACACUUACGUCAAUGAAUGAGUGACAACAGUAAAUGGACAAAACUACAGUAUGGGGCUUACUUCAUGUUAUUUUUCUUCUGAAACUGGACAUAUGUUAGCCUCUCUUUUCAAACAGAGCAAAUAAGGGGGCUGGCCCCGUGGCCGAGUGGUUAAGUUCGCGCGCUCCGCUGCAGGCGGCCCAGUGUUUCAUUGGUUCGAAUCCUGGGCGCAGACAUGGCACUGCUCAUCAAACCACGCUGAGGCAGCGUCCCACAUACCACAACUAGAAGAACCCACAAAGAAGAAUAUACAACUAUGUACCGGGGGCUUUGGGGAGAAAAAGGAAAAAAUAAAAUCUUUAAAAAAAAAAAACAAAAAAAAACAGAGCAAAUAAGACAGAGCACACAGUAGCAGGGGUCAGCAACUUCCCGUAAAGGGCCAGAUAGUAAAUAUUUUCAGCUUUAUAAGCCAUGUGAGCUCUCUCUCUCUCUGCUGUUCAACUCUUGUUGUAAUGUAAAAUCAGACAUAGACAACAGAUAGACCAAUGGGUAUAACUGCAUUCCAAUGAAAGUUUGUUUACAAAAGCAGGCAGCAGAGGUUGGGAUGUGGCCGUGGUUUGUGACCUCUCACCUAGAGAUCACUGGUUGCUCUUUGAGCCCCCAGGACUGUUGAGUCAGAAUAAUGUGUAAAGAUGGCUAAGCAAGGUGUUAAAGCAAGAGAGACCAGGAAGGAGUUGAAAAUCGUAGUAGUAGGGCAUUGUUCCCUUUUAGAUCAAAUACAACCUUGGAUAUUUAGAAAUAUUGAAAUGUGGUAAGAUAUCUAUAUUUUCCUCAAUUCUCCAAAAAAUUUAAUAACUUUCAGUUAACAUAAUAUAUUCAUCACAUUUUAGCUGACAAAUUAAAAAAUGGCAGUAAGAAAAAAAUGGCAAGAAUAGAAAAAUGCAUUUUCAGUCAUGGAUGUUUUCAUGUUAUUUAUGCCGUGGUAACUAAGAUGAGAAUUGGAACUCAAAUACUCGACACAAAGUAAAGGAUGAUCUCUUCAUAGCCAAAAAAGUCAGGGAUAAUAUUUUCAUCACCAUAUUCUAAAAGUUAUAAGUGUAAAUCUCUCUGUAUCGAGGGAAGAAUAUAUCGAGAGGCACCUUCAACUAGGAAAAUGCAGAGUUCAGGCUGAAGAUUGCCAUCCUUAACCUACUUAGGUGAACUGGAGUUUUGCCAGUGUGCUACCACAGAGGAAAACGAAACUAUUUGCUAGCACCCUAAAAUACUAAAAAUCAAUAUUGGAAUUCAACAAGCUGGACUUUGGAUGGAUUUUUAAGACUUUGCUCUGAAUUAACAUGCUUUUGAAAAUUAAUAGUCAAUAUUAUUUAAUACAUACGUCAUGUCAUAUAUGAG